GCCUCCCUCAUCAGACUAGAGGCCCCAAGAGUGUGAAGAAGGCCUCUGCCAUCAGACUGGGAGGUCCCCAGGGGUGGGAACAGGUUCUCCAUCCGUGUGGGAGUGCCUUGCGGGUUUGAACGGCACACUUCCUCCUCCAUCAGAUCAGGGUGUCCCUGGGAACCAGGGUGUGACUUGUUCGCAGACGCUGUCUCUCCAAGAGUGGGCGAAGCCUCUCCCGUCAGACUCGGAACUCCGUCCCGGGGUAUCCAGGUCUGAAUUCCUGGAAACUGCGGCUGUUACAACGUAUGACGAAAGGGACCUCACAGCCAUGAUGAAGUUCUGGAUCGCGUGACUGGGAGAUCAACCUGCAUGAUCUGGGUGGGCCCUAUGGGGGUCGCGGCAUCCUUACGAGGAGGCAGAGGGAGGUCUGACUGCUCAAGACAAGGGGAGGUGAAGAUAGAAGCAGAGCCCAGAGAUGCGGCCCCGAGCAAGGAAGGCUGGCAGCCACCAGAAACCGGAGGAGGCAAGGGAUGGAUUUUUUCCUGGAGCCUCCGGAAGGAACCAGCCCUGUUGACACCUGAGUUUAGCCCUGUAAGACUCAUUUCGGACUUCCGACCUCCAGAACAGAGAAUGCAUUUCUGCUGUUUUAAGCUGCUAAAUUUGUGGCAAUUUGUUAUAGCAGCUGCAGGAAACUAAUACACACUGUAAAUGUCACCCCUCCGGGAGGCUGGUUGGAGCCUCCACCAAAAUUACAGCCUCUGGUGUUUCUCUCCCAGAACGCACACUUUUC
Molecule: long non-coding RNA, 772 nt
Organism: Equus caballus (horse)
Lineage: Eukaryota; Metazoa; Chordata; Mammalia; Perissodactyla; Equidae
Source: Ensembl